UUGCCAAGAAUGUUCCCGUUAAUCAARAACGAAAGUUAGAGRUUCGAAGGCGAUCAGAUACCGCCCUAGUUCUAACCAUAAACGAUGCCAGCCAGCGAUCCGCCGAAGUUCCUCCGAUGACUCGGCGGGCAGCUUCCCGGGAAACCAAAGCUUUUGGGUUCCGGGGGAAGUAUGGUUGCAAAGCUGAAACUUAAAGGAAUUGACGGAAGGGCACCACCAGGAGUGGAGCCUGCGGCUUAAUUUGACUCAACACGGGAAACCUCACCAGGCCCGGACACCGGAAGGAUUGACAGAUUGAGAGCUCUUUCUUGAUUCGGUGGGUGGUGGUGCAUGGCCGUUCUUAGUUGGUGGAGCGAUUUGUCUGGUUAAUUCCGGUAACGAACGAGACUCUAGCCUGCUAAAUAGACGAUUUCCGGUAUCCACAAUAGUGCUACCGGCGAAAUCAAUAUCUUCUUAGAGGGACAGGCGGCUUUUAGCCGCACGAAACUGAGCAAUAACAGGUCUGUGAUGCCCUUAGAUGUCCUGGGCCGCACGCGCGCUACACUGAAGGAAUCAGCGUGUACACCCUGGCCGAAAGGCCCGGGCAACCCGUUGAACCUCCUUCGUGCUAGGGAUUGGGGCUUGCAAUUGUUCCCCAUGAACGAGGAAUUCCCAGUAAGCGCGAGUCAUAAGCUCGCGUUGAU
Molecule: ribosomal RNA, 683 nt
Filed under: Clidophleps vagans
Lineage: Eukaryota; Metazoa; Arthropoda; Insecta; Hemiptera; Cicadidae
Description: SSU rRNA
Rfam family: Eukaryotic small subunit ribosomal RNA
Source: RNAcentral